ACAGCAAAAGAUUCUUUUUGACAGAAUCUGGUACAUCAAAAUCAAAUUUUUCGGCCGCAACACAAAAUUUUACCAAAAAACAAGCUAAGUAUUUAUCCGUCCAAGAAAACAAGUCAAACAAUUAUACAAUGUAAUUUAAAUACCUACUCAAAAUCAAGAAAAGGCCGAACACCCGAAAUUGAUAACCAUGGUCAGCCGUGGACCAUGGGCCUGAUUCAAUACGCAUUGCUGUUGGUUUCUGCUGUACUCGCUCUGGUGACGGGAGCCAUCGGCUGCACCAGGAAGACGUAUUGCGUGUAGGGAACCUUCGCCCUGUAAGAAGUAAUUGAUGCACAAUGGCUAAAAUCAACUGGGCAUUCAUAUACUCAAUGCUGAUGAUCUUGUUCACUAUAUUCUCGGUUGGAAGUGGUUGUAAAAAGACUAUUCCAUGUACGGGCAGGGCUCCUUGCAAGAAAGGGCCUUUUAGGACCUGAAGAAUUACCUGGAACCCAAAUAUCUGAAAAUUUUCCUAAAGAGAAACUGUAAAAAAAUCAAUGAAAAACCUACAGGGGAAAUAAAGCGAUACGAUUUUAUGGAACAAAAUAUUCUGUCUAAAAGGAAAAUAAUUUGAAAAACUUUGGGUAUGGUCAACGGUGGACUAAAUAACUUUUAGAAGAAAUGUUGUGACGAUAAAGAUUUAAAAUAUAAAAAUCGUUGAGUCAAAAUAUUUAGAAAUCUUUGUGCGUAGAAAAUUAAUAUGUAUUUUGAACUGAGAAAUAUGGACUUAACAUCUCCCGUCCAUAUAAUAGUGCAAAAUGAUUCAGAUAAUAACAGAAAUACAAUACCGAACCCAAUUAAAAUUAAAUACCUAUCAAAUGAAAUUUAUAAAGGACAUGGAUAUUAUACGAUAACUGAUAAAGAUGUUUUACGUCAAUUUUGGAGGGCGGUCCGAAAUAGACCUAAAGUGAAAUAGAUUAGACCAUCUGAAUUUCCAAAUGGGCAAUAUUGUUAUUUAUGUGUUCAAUAAUUCAAUUUCUUGUAUCUGUUUUAUGGGAAAUACAUAACUGUUUAAUAUGGAGGAGUAUCAAUAAAUUUAAAACUAUGAACAUGAAACUUUGAAGUUAAAUCAUCCUAAAAAAAAAGUUAAUCCUAUUUGGUUCAGCAAGUAUUUGGAGUUUGAGAAUUCAGUUCAAGACCCAUAAUCCUGAAGUUGUGUUAUAUGAUGCACGGUUGGCGACAGCUGGUGGCAGUGCUGCUUCUUGUGGUAACUCUCCUGCAACUUGUGGCUGCUUGUGGAACGAGGACGAUCACGUGUAAUCCUGCCAACCCACCCUGCAAGAAAUAAGUAAAAUGCAGUACCUCAACCCGUUCGUGCUGGUAUUGCUACACAUCGCAGUGUCGGUGUUGGAGCUGAUGCGCGGCUGUCGGCCGGCCAUUGAGCGUUGCCGCGACGCGCACUGCUUCCCUUGCAACCAGUUCGGGGGACCCAAAGUACGACGAACCGGCAAUACCAAGGUACGGAUCCCUAAAAACACGCAAGGCACGCUGUGACGGCUGAGGUUGGAGGAGGUGCCUCCAGAACAUCUUCCGAUGCUUCCUGCAGGUCUUCAUCUCUGACACUGUCACCGUAGUCAAGGCAUUCGGAAUUAAUGAAAAUAUAGAAACCUCUCCGCCGUUAAUUAACUUCGCAAAAUAAUUAUAAAAUGUUAAUGAAGAUGAAGAGCUUGAUUAUUGUACUUAUCUUAUAUUUUCAAUAAAAUAUAAUUAUUAUGAACUGAA
Long non-coding RNA from Maniola jurtina (meadow brown), 1758 nucleotides. RefSeq lists it as uncharacterized. NCBI's taxonomy places the organism in Eukaryota, Metazoa, Arthropoda, Insecta, Lepidoptera, Nymphalidae. The transcript has 8 exons. The record is from RefSeq and is a predicted model, not a curated record.